CGGUGUGCGCUUGGUGUGGGAGGAAUCGACCCCUUCUGUGCCGGAGCUAACGCGUUAAGCGCACCGCCUGGGAAGUACGGCCGCAAGGUUAAAACUCAAAGAAAUUGACGGGGACCCGCACAAGCGGUGGAGUAUGUGGCUUAAUUCGAUGCAACGCGAAGAACCUUACCUAGGCUUGACAUGCCGUCAUAGACUGUGAAAGCAGUUGUCAGUUCGGCUGGACGUGCACAGGUGCUGCAUGGCUGUCGUCAGCUCGUGUCGUGAGAUGUUCGGUUAAGUCCGGCAACGAGCGCAACCCCUGUGAAUAGUUGCUAACAUUUAGUUGAGGACUCUAUUCAGACUGCCCGUUUCAAACGGGAGGAAGGUGGGGACGACGUCAAGUCAGUAUGGCCCUUACGCCUAGGGCUGCACACGUACUACAAUGCCCAGUACAAUGAGAACCGAGACCGUGAGGUGGAGGAAAUCUAUAAAACUGGGCUCAGUUCGGAUUGGAGGCUGCAACUCGCCUCCAUGAAGUUGGAAUCGCUAGUAAUGGCACAUCAGCUACGGUGCCGUGAAUACGUUCCCGGGUCUUGUACACACCGCCCGUCACAUCAUGGGAGCCGAUCGCACCCGAAGUAUAUUAAAUAAUAAUGUCCUAAGGUGUAGUUGGUAACUGGGAUGAAGUCGUAACAAGGUAACC
Molecule: ribosomal RNA, 682 nt
Filed under: uncultured bacterium
Lineage: Bacteria
Description: bacterial SSU rRNA
Rfam family: Bacterial small subunit ribosomal RNA
Source: RNAcentral